UGUUUGUAAACUUGCAAACUCUGGUUAGAACAUUCUAGUAUUUGUUGAGUUCAGAUGUCACGGCAAAUCCCAGUUUGUUCCAAACCAGCUUUGGAAAUGUAAAACUUCCUCCCCAAGGCUCAUGCAUAUUCUAUAGAACCCUGAUUAAACCAUGGUUCCAUGUGAUGUCUGAACCAGGCCAGUGCCUUUCUUUAGAAUGAUUGCCACAAGUGCAGCUGAUGUUUAUCACAUCUGAACUUAAUGACAGACUUGAUGCAGGUCAGGAUGUACAUCCCCAUUCAGUGCCAUUUCUUGUACACAAGAAAGCAUACAUACAUAUGGAUUAGGGCCAUGGUGUAUAUUCAUAACACAAAAUAAAUGCUCUCCACAUUUCUUCAAGAAUUUCAAAUGCCCAUCUAUCUUUUUGUUUGUUUGUUUCCCUAGAAAAUACUGAACCACAUUCAUUCCCACGGCUCCUUUAAUAUUUCUCACUAAUGAUCUUUUUAAAGAACAUGAUUGAGAGGUAAAUACUACCAAAGAGAAAGUUUGAAUUUUUGCACAACAUGAAAAGCUUUCCCCACAAGGGUUAUUUGGGAAAUUGCUGGCCCAAAUUCUUAUAUAUAAUUUGGUGCAAGUUUAUAUUUUUAUUUAAAGACAAUAAAGUGUUGCAAUUUUUUUUCCAUGGCAGUCAUUUAGUUUCAGCUAUUAACAAUUUUCCAAAUUAUUUAAAACGAUAAUCUAAGCACACUAGUCACAAUCCAACCGUGAGUUAAGCACAACUACACUUUUGGAAAUCACUGUGCUUGAGCAUACAUCCUAAUGCUAUUGUGAUCCUCCUCUUCUUUCAACCACCAAGACAGGCAUGACUUGAUUCGUAUAUAUUGACAGAACAUGUUUUUUCAGUCAUGGUUCUUAUAGUUUCCUCAAAGGGGGGCAUUGUAUUGUCUACAAUUGGAUCUCUGUAUUUUAUUAAAUCUCCUUGUUCCCUGUCCCUGGAAUUAUUAUAUUUAAAAUACGAAUACUAUAUAUUAUUGAGGCUAGUGGAGAAACAUAUGGACUCAAUUUCCCCUUCAAAUGUGUCCCAUAUUCUUCAAAUUAAAUUCAAUAUCCUACAUUUUCCCAUUUCUUCUGACCCAUAGUAUAUUGUUACAUGAUCCCUAUUGCCCUGAGCAACAAGAAGUUCCAGGGAUAACACUACUCAGGUUUGGUUUCCUUUGUAGGAGAGAACACUGGAGAUGUAUAGCAUCGUAAUAAUUGCUUGAUUUACAAAUAUGAAAGUAGAAUAUAUGGUAGAUAGAGGCAAGCAGCUCGCACUCAUCUGCUACCUCACAUAGGAUCUCCAAAGAGAUAUAUCUCUACACCUCAAGAUCCUAUCAGUUCUCAGCUCUUCUCCUCUAUUCCAGCUAUUGUUUCUUCACAUGUAUACACCUUAUAUCAGUCCAUCCCCUCAGCAUCCUCCGAUAGUUACACAGGAAGCUGCCAUUUUGAAGGAGAAUGGGAAUAAUUCCAGCACUUCCACUGAGUCAGAUAAUUAGUUCACCUUGCUCUGUAUUGUCUAUUCUUACUGCAUCAUUUCUUCAGGGUUUCAGGCAAGAGUCUUUUCCAGCCCUACCUGGAGAUAGCAGGGACUGAACCUAAGAACUAGGGAUGUGCUGAAACAUGAUUAAGCUUUCAGAAUCGCGGGCACCUCCCUUUAAAAUCGAGGGCUUACACAGCCCCUUUAAAGCGGGGGGGAGAGCAGGUCUGUACCUGAUCCUCCUCCGCUCGCUGCCAUUGCCACUAUCCUGGCACUCUCCCAGCUAUGCCCGCAUGCCGGCAGAGUGUCUCCCAGCUGCCCCACACACAUGGCCUCUGUGCAUGCGUGGUGGCCAUUUGUGUGGCCAGCAACAAUCUAUAUAUAUAAUUCUUUAAGACAUACCUGUGGCUGAUCCCGUGUGUGGCAGCUCUCACGAGGGUUCGCGAGCAGAAGCACCUGAUUGGGCAGUGGGGAUUCCAUAUGCAAAUAGAAAGGAGGAGUCUGUGAGAGCAGAAGCACCGUGGUGACUGGAUAGUGGGGAUUUCAUAUGCAGAUAGGGUCGAGAAGCCUGAAGCACCAUGGUGAUUGGGCAGUGGGGAUUUCAUAUGCAGAUAGGGAAGAGGAGCCUGUGAUGGUUAAGGUCAAUUGGAAUGCAACUGUUACUGGUCGGAAUAUAUUCUUGAUUGUAAAAGAGGAGAGAGAGAGAGAGAGAGAGAGAGAGAGAGAGAGAGAUAUGAAUGAUAGUGGGCAGGGUCUGCGAAGAGAGGGGUCGUGAGGGAGGAAAGAGCCCCUUCAGGAGGAGGCUGCUGCUGUCGAGUUAUACUGGCAGUGUGGAAGCCAGUGCAGCAUGGCUCCUUCUCUGGUCACCAAGAAACAGUAGGAGCCUCAGAGUUCUUCUUCCUGUGACAUCUGGAUGUGAGAAACCUCUGGCCUCUUCCUGGGCCAUGGAGUCUCUGUUUUUGCUCUGUUACUGCCGCCUCCUCCUCCGGCUGCUUAUUCUACUUUUGUUCUCCCAGUCAUUCACACACAGAAGGCAUCUCAGAGGCAAGUGAGCAGUGCAGUAUGCCAGGCUGGUGCCAAGUCAACUGUCAACACAGAUCCAUUGCCCAACAUGUGGGUGGCCCUGUACAGCCUGUAGAUGUUCUCACAAAGAGGUGGGAAUUGGAAGCAAUCUACAAGUAUCUGGAAUUCCCCAGUGGGUGCAAAUAUUAAGGGAGCCACAAUCAGGGCACAGUCUGUAUGUUGUUCAAACCUGCUUUUUAGCUCUUUUAUUGACUUCAGAAAACCAAACAGAAUGUAACGUACUAGCUCAACUAAUUGUUUUCUCUAUGGUGUUGUAUGCCUUGGCAGAAGUCAAGGACCAUAUACGUCAGAAGAAUGUUCCUACAAUGCAUCUGAAAGUCUCGUGGUUUUGUUUGUUUGGUAGGGAUUGUGUGCAAAGAUGCUCAGUUAGUUUUGAAGGUGGAUUUAUAUUAUCUAAUGCUUUUGUGAAGGACAUGAUUAUUAAAGGACAUUUUGUGUGUUAUAGGAGUUGCACAGUCUUUCCUUUCAAGAUAGUUAUGGCCUGAUGAUGUAAUCAUUGUUUCUGACUUCUAAACAAUAUUUGUUUUGAAAUAAAAAUAAUUUUGCAGUG
Molecule: long non-coding RNA, 3128 nt
Organism: Hemicordylus capensis (graceful crag lizard)
Lineage: Eukaryota; Metazoa; Chordata; Lepidosauria; Squamata; Cordylidae
Exons: 3
Source: RefSeq, a predicted model, not a curated record